Molecule: ribosomal RNA, 2352 nt
Filed under: Lindbladia tubulina
Lineage: Eukaryota; Evosea; Eumycetozoa; Liceales; Cribrariaceae
Description: partial 18S ribosomal RNA
Rfam family: Eukaryotic small subunit ribosomal RNA
Source: RNAcentral
UAUGCUUGUUUCCGAGAUUAAGCCAUGCAUGCUUUUUUGAAUAAACGUUCUUUUUGUUCAUACCUUGGAUAGUGGGCGGUGAAUCUGCGAAAAGCUCCAUAAUACUGUUAUAACUUUCCCAAUUAAUCUGUAGGCUUUCUACCAAUAUAAGUAGAAGUCUUCUCUCUUUUUGAAUCCCUUUUUCUCAAGGGGGUGCCCUUCAUUUUGAGAGAAACUUAUACGGAUAUCCGGUGGAAAUUCUACGGCUAAUACGUGCACCUUGGUUCUUCACUUUUUUCUUCCAGUAUUUAGUUUUGACCCUCUGCCUUGAACCUAUCCUUCGGGGUAACCUUUGCUGAGACUUUACUUGUAUUGGGAGGGGGAGUGGAAGCCAUGAAAUUCUUAAAAAAUCUCUUGAUAAAGUUAGAACUCACAUCCUUGGCUGGGUGUGGCUUUUGAUUUUUGAAGGUGAUUCUGGUUCUUGGUCGACUAGGAAAUACUCUUGCUUUAGCUUUAAUUUCCUUCGGGGGUUUUUGCUAUUCAAGAGUCUCUUUCUUAGUAAGUUGGAAAGGUUUCAGAUCUAUCAUACUUGUGAACAGGGUAUUGACCUGCUCAGGUUAUAACAGAUACGGGGAAUUAGGGUUUGAUUCCGGAGAGGAAGCCUAAAAAACCGCUUCCACUUCCAAGGAAGGCAGCAGGCGCGUAACGUUUCCAAUGACUAAGUUGUUGAGAACGCUAGGAAACAUAUGGGACUAGGCUAUUUAGUCUAGAAUACCCGAAUGAGGGCAAUCCAAACAACUCACCUAGUAACAAUUAGUGGGAAAGUCUGGUGCCAGCAUCCGCGGUAAUUCCAGCACUAAUAGCAUAUUAUUUUACUGUUGCAGUUGAAACAUUCGUAGUCGAACUUGGGUUUUUUAUGCACUUGGAGAGAAGAUUGUGCUCCUGUUUGUUCUUCUGGUUUAGAAGUUCUUAUCACCGGGAUUCUUCCACAGGUUUAAUUGAAAUUUAUUUCUUUUUUUCUCUGAUUGGCAAUCUUUUGGGGGUAGGAUACAACUUUAUCAGCUCUUGAGCUUAUAGUCACAGUCCGAUUCAAAGAGUGUUGAGAAAGCCAAUCACUUUCUGGACCGUAUCAACUUCCUUUCAUUAGGCAGGUUGGUCUCUUCAGAUAACUUACCUUGAGACAAUAAACUGGCUCAAAGUAGGUCUUCCUUUCGUGACAUUGAAUUCACUAGCAUGGGAUAAUUUAUCUUUCUGAUAAGUUGGUUCUCUGUCAGAAGGAAGGUGGUUAAAAGGGGUUGAGGGGGUCAGCCAAGCUGUGGGGCGAGGGGUGAAAUCCGUUGACCCUCACAGAUUGACCAUGAGCGAAAGCUGCUGGCUACGAUAUCUCUUUUGAUCAAGAAUGGGAGUGGGGGGAUCGAAAAUGAUUAGAUACCGUUGUAGUCCCCACAGCAAAAGUUGUCAACCACCCGUGGGAUGACAAUCUACCAGACUUCUUCCAUAUGUUAAUUAAAGUUACUAAGUUGACUCUGGGGGGAGUAUGGUCGCAAGUCUGAAACUUAAAGGAAUUGACGGAGGAGCACACAAGGAGUGGAACCUGCGGCUUAAUUUGACUCAACACGGGGAAUCUUACGGAGAUCACAGAAGAUAUGAUUGACACAAUAAAGUUGUUUCUUGAAUUCUUCCAUCGGUGGUGCAUGGCCGUUCUUAGUUCGUGUAGUGGUAUGUCUGGUCAACUCCGCUAACGAGCAAGACAUAAGACUUUCUCAUUAGGUUCUGGACGAUAGGGAGCAUUUGAGUAGAGUAUUUGAGUAGACUACCAGUGCCUUUUAAAGGGUAGGAAUCAUUUCCUUCGGGAUCUUUUUCUCUCCCUUGAUUGGUUACUGGAUGCCUAGUAUAUUCAGUAUUUUACUCUUUUGCUGUUCAGUACUCUAGUCUGAGAGUGACAAACGUUUAUAAGCCGUUGGAAGCAUUAUGCUAUAACAGGUCAGUGAUGCCCUAAGAUAUCUCCGGCUGCACGCGCGUUACUUUAGUAUGAUUAGCUAGACCACGGCAAGAGAUUGCUUGUGUAAUCUAGAAUUCAUCACUAAGGUUAGGAUUGCUUUGUUCCACUCAAACCAUGAAUAUGGAAUUUCUAGUAAGCGCUAGUUCACAAAACUGCGCUGACUUUGUCCCUGCUCUUUGUACACACCGCCCGUCGCUCCUACCGAUGAGUGGCUUGCUAAAGACACCGGAGAAGAAUUAGAGAAGACUAGAAAAAAAGCUUGCUUUCUUUCUGGAGCACCCUCUACGUUUUUUUGAAGGUUUCUGGACCAAGACACUUAGAGGAAGGAGAAGUCGUAACAAGGUAGCUGUAGGUGAACCUGCAGAAGGAUC